AGAUAGAUUCUCAGAUAUCUUUAAAGAUAAGUUCUUGAUCUGUUUUAAGAAACAGUUGCAUUCUUUCAUGCUCGGUGGCUGUAUUUUGAGGAACGAGGCACUGGGAGUGGCUUUCUAGGGGCUGGGGGCUGAGCAGAGGCCUGGCACCUGCGAAAGCAUCAAAGAACAACUCCCAUUGUGUCGUUUAGGCUAACAAGCAAUAUUUGUUGUCAUUAUUUUCUCUGCUUAACCCAUUUUUAAAAAUGAGCUUUUUUUUUUUUAAAGCAGUUGUGGGUUUGUCGCACAAUUGAGUAGGAGGUACAGAGAUUUUCCAAAAAACUCCCCUGCCCCCACACAUAGCCUCCCUCACUACCAACACCCCCACUAGAGCGGUCCAUUUGUUACCAUCCAUGCACCUAUGUCACCGACACACCCUUGUCACCCAGCAUUCAGAGUUUACGUCAGGGCUCAGCUUUUUACCUGUUAGGAGGGAGUGGCCACCUCCAAGCCCCUUACAUCCUAGGUGGGAAGCUGGAAGCUCUUCUUCACCAACUUUUAAAUUUAAUCGACCUCCUACUCAUACAACUUUUGCUGCAUGGGAGCUUUGGAAGGUUAAAAAAAAAAAAAAAAGAAAAAGAAAGAAAGAAAAAAAGAACUGAUCCCUCCAAAAAGGAACACUGAAGUGCUGAGGUUCCCAGAUGAAAUCACAGCUCACAGCGUCAUCACAGGAAUUUCUGGAUAGAAGCAAGCAAGUGCUUUGGGGGCAACUGAAGUUCAUUCUUUGACCACUGUCUGCUCUCCGCUGUGCCCGUGAGCACAGCUGGCCAAGCCGAUGGCAGAAACGGGCAAGGAUGUCCUGAUCCUCUAGCUUCCGGCGGGGUGUAAGCAACCCCGGCACGUUUAUCCAAAACACGCCCAUCCCGCUGCCCUGCAACGCCUUGUGAAUGAAUCGUGGACCUCCAGCGCCAAUCACUGUUCAGGGGCUUCCUGCCUGCUCUGCGCUGUGCCCUCUGGUGCCUCGGCUUUUGGAGAGAGUUGAAAGACUCUUCACUUAUCACGCACUGGUCCCACAGUAGAGGACCUAGCGAUGGACACGGGACACUGGGCAGGAUUCAAUUAUGUUUCUCAGUUUGAUCGAAUGCUGCUGAGUCAUUUUCUUUCUUUUUUUUUUUUUUUUUGCUUUGUCACCCAGACAGUGGGGUGACCACGACUCACCACAAACCUUGACCACCCAGGCUCAAGCAAAUCUCCCCGUCUAGCCUCCUGAGUAGCCGGGGCAACAGUUGCAUGCUAUCACGCCUGGCUAGUUUUUUAUUUUUUGUUUUUUGUACAGAUGAGGUCUCACUAUGUGGCCCAGGCUGGUGUUGAAAUCCUGGGCUCAAGAAAUCCUCCCACCUCGGCCUCCCAAGUGCUGGGAUUACAGGCAUGAG
This 1409-nucleotide long non-coding RNA is filed under the name Homo sapiens (human). RNAcentral's name for it is "HSALNT0355688". Lineage: Eukaryota; Metazoa; Chordata; Mammalia; Primates; Hominidae. The record is from RNAcentral.